UAGGAAAUCAGACUAUCGAUCUCACGCUCGAAGAGGAAAGAAAGAGACAUGAGAGGCAAUGAAUACAAAUUGUACCUUCAGGACAUACAAACAAGCUCACCCCACUGAAUCAAGGAUUUUCAACCGGAUUAUUCCUGCCACUAUCAACAUCCAGCCUUUUUUGCUUAAUUGGUGCACAAAUGCAGGUGUAUGAUUCUGACAGCAGAAUGAGUCAGGCAGCCUUGAGUGUGGUCAGUAUGUUUCAUGUUGGGACCACGGGUAUAAGACUUUAAGUCACUCUUAGAGGGAAAUAUACAGGGGGGUGCACGCAAUUGGACAUGUCCUCCAAAGA
Anguilla anguilla (European eel) is the source of this 331-nucleotide long non-coding RNA. RefSeq lists it as uncharacterized. The transcript is spliced from 3 exons. The record is from RefSeq and is a predicted model, not a curated record. Lineage: Eukaryota; Metazoa; Chordata; Actinopteri; Anguilliformes; Anguillidae.